AUGGUGAGGGUAAUGCAACGAUUGAAGACGAUAAUGGUGCGGAGGCUGGAGGACGAGGGCAAUAGGGAUCUAGGGAUUCAGAGUUUGAAACCUUUAUCCAAUCUUCAACCUAUUUUCAAGCUUCUUGUCCUCCUCCGUAUAUUUGUUCCCCCUUCUGUAAUUUCAUUCUCCGCGCCUCUAUAA
Molecule: non-coding RNA, 183 nt
Organism: Vicia faba (fava bean)
Lineage: Eukaryota; Viridiplantae; Streptophyta; Magnoliopsida; Fabales; Fabaceae
Source: the annotation of a GenBank genome assembly